Long non-coding RNA from Gymnogyps californianus (California condor), 754 nucleotides. RefSeq lists it as uncharacterized. The record is from RefSeq and is a predicted model, not a curated record. The transcript is spliced from 3 exons. Lineage: Eukaryota; Metazoa; Chordata; Aves; Accipitriformes; Cathartidae.
AACACAGGAAAGGUACAGCACUACCAAGGACUACAGGGAUCUGGGCAUUCCCGCAGGUGCACGUUUUCACCUAAAAAAACCCUGAACAUAUCACUGUGACCUCCUCCUUAGAUGUACAGUAGUUAGUGGUCUGCCCCCCACUCUAAACCUUCUGCAAAAACAGAAGUAUUACCUUAUUGAGGACAGGCUUUGUGGAGAGAACAUCAUAAAUUGCUGGCUUGCUAUGGUAUCUUUCAAUGAUGUUAAAGAAGUGAGUUCUUGCACAACAGAAGUCACAAGAAACAUAGGACACAAUUAUUGGUGGAACCUGUCCUCUUCUGGAAGGCUGAGUCAUGUGUCAGGUCAAGCAUACUCACUCCCAGAUAUCCAGAGUAGCUGUCCUGGAACGAGUUAUCACACAUCCUUCUCCAGAAUUUUUUCCACCCAGUAUAAAGUAAGCUGGAGCCAGCAGUCUUGUUUUUGCCAGUCUGUCUUUUGCAUCCUGGUAACUGCAGAUAACAAAGUAGUGUUGGACUACUAAAUGCUAUAAAUGGUUCAAGUACUGAAGAACGAGUUUCACAGACCCAGGAAAAGUUUGGGUAGUUACACCUGUCUUCCUCUUUCAUGCACAUAUGAGAAGACUGUAUCACAAUGAAGGAACGCAUUUAAGCAAAGCUCCUCCACUCACUUUGUACUUAAAGUAUGGUUGUUGAGAGGUGCUCUUUGCACUUUUUCUACAUUUAAAACAGGAAUAAAAUGAUGAUGUGCUGUGUCA